AUUGAACGCUGGCGGCAGGCCUAACACAUGCAAGUCGAGCGGAUGAAGGGAGCUUGCUCCUGGAUUCAGCGGCGGACGGGUGAGUAAUGCCUAGGAAUCUGCCGGGUAGUGGGGGAUAACGUCCGGAAACGGGCGCUAAUACCGCAUACGUCCUGAGGGAGAAAGUGGGGGAUCUUCGGACCUCACGCUAUCAGAUGAGCCUAGGUCGGAUUAGCUAGUUGGUGGGGUAAAGGCCUACCAAGGCGACGAUCCGUAACUGGUCUGAGAGGAUGAUCAGUCACACUGGAACUGAGACACGGUCCAGACUCCUACGGGAGGCAGCAGUGGGGAAUAUUGGACAAUGGGCGAAAGCCUGAUCCAGCCAUGCCGCGUGUGUGAAGAAGGUCUUCGGAUUGUAAAGCACUUUAAGUUGGGAGGAAGGGCAGUAAGUUAAUACCUUGCUGUUUUGACGUUACCAACAGAAUAAGCACCGGCGAACUUCGU
This 483-nucleotide ribosomal RNA is filed under the name uncultured bacterium. RNAcentral's name for it is "partial 16S ribosomal RNA". It matches the Rfam family "Bacterial small subunit ribosomal RNA", at positions 30 to 506 of the family's 1533-position model. The record is from RNAcentral.